AUUGAACGCUGGCGGCAUGCCUUACACAUGCAAGUCGAACGGUAACGCGGGGCAACCUGGCGACGAGUGGCGAACGGGUGAGUAAAGCAUCGGAACGUGCCCAAUAGUGGGGGAUAGCCCGGCGAAAGCCGGAUUAAUACCGCAUGAGACCUGAGGGUGAAAGCGGGGGAUCGCAAGACCUCGCGCUAAUGGAGCGGCCGAUGUCAGAUUAGCUAGUUGGUGGGGUAAAGGCCUACCAAGGCGACGAUCUGUAGCUGGUCUGAGAGGACGACCAGCCACACUGGGACUGAGACACGGCCCAGACUCCUACGGGAGGCAGCAGUGGGGAAUUUUGGACAAUGGACGAAAGUCUGAUCCAGCCAUGCCGCGUGCGGGAAGAAGGCCUU
This 386-nucleotide ribosomal RNA is filed under the name uncultured bacterium. RNAcentral's name for it is "bacterial SSU rRNA". It matches the Rfam family "Bacterial small subunit ribosomal RNA", at positions 29 to 418 of the family's 1533-position model. The record is from RNAcentral.